AGUGAACGCUGGCGGCAUGCCUAAUACAUGCAAGUCGAACGGCAGCACAGUAAGCGCUUGCCCUCACGGUUGGCGACUGGCGGAUGGGUGAGGCAUACAUACUCAUCCUCUUUUUCGUGGGGGAUAUCGUAGGGAAACUUAUGCUAAUACCUCAUACCUUCAACCACUGAAUUUAGGUGUUCUUCAUACCAUUCGCGCACGAAUGAGCCGAUGUCGGAUUAGCUAGUUGGCGGGGUAAAGGCCCACCAAGGCGACGAUCCGUAGCUGGUCUGAGAGGAUGAUCAGCCACACUGGAACUGAGACACGGUCCAGACUCCUACGGGAGGCAGCAGUGGGGAAUAUUGGACAAAGGGCGCAAGCCUGAUCCAGCCAUACCGCGUGGGUGAAGAAGGCCUUCGGGUUGUAAAGCCCUUUUGUUGGGAAAGAAAAGCAGCAGGUUAAUACCCCGCUGUUCUGACGGUACCCAAAGAAUAAGCACCGGCUAACUUCGUG
This 492-nucleotide ribosomal RNA is filed under the name uncultured bacterium. Its description in RNAcentral is "partial 16S ribosomal RNA". It matches the Rfam family "Bacterial small subunit ribosomal RNA", at positions 29 to 507 of the family's 1533-position model. The record is from RNAcentral.